RNAcentral lists this unclassified non-coding RNA (89 nucleotides) under Pseudomonas poae. The record is from RNAcentral. Lineage: Bacteria; Pseudomonadati; Pseudomonadota; Gammaproteobacteria; Pseudomonadales; Pseudomonadaceae.
GGUGGGAGCGGGCUUGCUCGCGAAUGCGCAGUGUCAGUCAUCCAUUCGAUAACUGACAGACCGCAUUCGCGAGCAAGCCCGCUCCCACA